This 357-nucleotide unclassified non-coding RNA is filed under the name fungal sp. RNAcentral describes it as "partial internal transcribed spacer region". The stretch from base 1 to 46 matches the Rfam family "Eukaryotic small subunit ribosomal RNA", at positions 1786 to 1831 of the family's 1831-position model. The record is from RNAcentral. Lineage: Eukaryota; Fungi.
AAGUCGUAACAAGGUUUCCGUAGGUGAACCUGCGGAAGGAUCAUUAUCAACGUAUCCACGUUUAUAAACCAAAUUCGUGAAUUGUUUAUCAUUGCCUUUGGGUUAUUGGCCGCUAUCAGUUUGACACAUAUGGAGUUCAUUGUAUGGUUAUGGGCUCGUCCUGAUAAUUUAAGGCUGUCUCUCCAAAGUGUAGUUAAUCAUACGUUAAUUAUUUUUAUUAACCAAUUGAACCACUUUUAUUUUUAUACUUUGUUUGAACUGAUUUGUUUCUUUACUUGGCACUUGAUUGUGCUGAGAAGGAAAAUAAAUUACGAAACAAUAAAAGAACAACUCUUAGCAACGGAUAUCUUGGUUCUC